This 500-nucleotide ribosomal RNA is filed under the name uncultured bacterium. Its description in RNAcentral is "partial 16S ribosomal RNA". It matches the Rfam family "Bacterial small subunit ribosomal RNA", at positions 28 to 507 of the family's 1533-position model. The record is from RNAcentral.
GACGAACGCUGGCGGCGCGCUUAACACAUGCAAGUCGAACGGAAAGGCCUGCUUUCCCUUGUGGAUUGCGGGUACUCGAGUGGCGAACGGGUGAGUAGCACGUGAGUGAUCUGCCCCCAACUUGGGUAUAAGCCUGGGAAACUGGGUCUAAUUCCCGAUAGGACUGCAGGGUGGUGCCUGUGGUGGAAAACGAUUUUCUAGUGGUUGGGGAUGAGCUCGCGGCCUAUCAGCUUGUUGGUGGGGUAAUGGCCUACCAAGGCGACGACGGGUAGCCGGCCUGGGAGUGAGAGCGGCGACAGCCGCAUUGAGACAGGGUCCAGGCCCCUACGGGUGGGGGCGGCAGGAGUGGGUGAUAAUGGAGCAUGGGCCGAAGCCUGACGCAGCGAGGGCGUGAGGGGGAUGUCGGCGUUGGGGUGGUAAUCUGCUGUGGAAGAAGAGGAGCCGAUUUGGUUGGAAGUGUGGUGACGGUAGUGGAAGAAGAAGCACCGGCUAACUACGUG